GACGAACGCUGGCGGCGUGCUUAACACAUGCAAGUCGAACGAAGAGCGAUGGAAGCUUGCUUCUAUCAAUCUUAGUGGCGAACGGGUGAGUAACGCGUAAUCAACCUGCCCUUCAGAGGGGGACAACAGUUGGAAACGACUGCUAAUACCGCAUACGAUCUAAUCUCGGCAUCGAGGAUAGAUGAAAGGUGGCCUCUACAUGUAAGCUAUCACUGAAGGAGGGGAUUGCGUCUGAUUAGCUAGUUGGAGGGGUAACGGCCCACCAAGGCGAUGAUCAGUAGCCGGUCUGAGAGGAUGAACGGCCACAUUGGGACUGAGACACGGCCCAGACUCCUACGGGAGGCAGCAGUGGGGAAUCUUCCGCAAUGGACGAGAGUCUGACGGAGCAACGCCGCGUGAGUGAUGACGGCCUUCGGGUUGUAAAGCUCUGUUAAUCGGGACGAAAGGCCUUCUUGCGAAUAGGGAGAAGGAUUGACGGUACCGGAAUAGAAAGCCACGGCUAACUACGUG
Molecule: ribosomal RNA, 510 nt
Filed under: uncultured bacterium
Lineage: Bacteria
Description: partial 16S ribosomal RNA
Rfam family: Bacterial small subunit ribosomal RNA
Source: RNAcentral